AUGGGAACGCGAAGAACCUUACCUAGACUUGACAUCUCCUGAAUAGUGUAGAGAUACAUGAAGCCCUUCGGGGCAGGAAGACAGGUGGUGCAUGGUUGUCGUCAGCUCGUGUCGUGAGAUGUUGGGUUAAGUCCCGCAACGAGCGCAACCCUUAUUGUUAGUUGCUAACAUUAAGUUGAGCACUCUAGUGAGACUGCCCGGGUUAACCGGGAGGAAGGUGGGGAUGACGUCAAAUCAUCAUGCCCCUUAUGUCUAGGGCUACACACGUGCUACAAUGGUGGGAACAAAGAGAUGCAAUACCGCAAGGUGGAGCUAAACUCAAAACCCCAUCCCAGUUCGGAUUGUAGGCUGAAACUCGACUACGUGAAGUCGGAAUCGCUAGUAAUCGCGGAUCAGAAUGCCGCGGUGAAUACGUUCCCGGGUCUUGUACACACCG
RNAcentral lists this ribosomal RNA (436 nucleotides) under uncultured bacterium. RNAcentral's name for it is "bacterial SSU rRNA". It matches the Rfam family "Bacterial small subunit ribosomal RNA", at positions 954 to 1392 of the family's 1533-position model. The record is from RNAcentral.